Molecule: long non-coding RNA, 529 nt
Organism: Hypomesus transpacificus
Lineage: Eukaryota; Metazoa; Chordata; Actinopteri; Osmeriformes; Osmeridae
Exons: 3
Source: RefSeq, a predicted model, not a curated record
GUUACCCAUGGUGUACAGUAGGUUAUGUACCACUCUGAGAGACAAUAGCUCCUGAGAGAGCUCAUGACUCCCCUGAGCAAGCAACCUUUAACAAAUAGAACAGAAAACAGGUCGAUGUUGUAAAUCGUUUAAACUGUCUAAUUCAGUUUGUAAUUUAUAUAAUUCAGCAGAGUACCUCUGUGACUAUUUACUCUGGGGCAGUAUGAAAAACAAGUUGGCAUACUAGUGUUCCAUAACAACCAAAUAGCUCUGUGGCAGUGGUGUAAUGGUUUGAUGCUGGUUUCUCAGAACCUUGCAGAUGCCUUGCAGUCAUUAAGCUUUUGCUGCAGCUGCUUGUUGAACAAACACUGGUAGAGAUUCAGUCAUUUUGGUCAUUUCCGGGUCUGAAAGAAUGUUCAUCAAAAUGUACCUUUAAAAUUAAGAUCAAGAUUAGGCUACAUUGUCAUCCGUCCAAUGCAUCCCCAAGAUGUCCUGACUGGGGCCUGGGGCAUGCCGUGACUGGGGCAUGCCAUGACUUGUCAAACACUCC